UCGAGAAUCAUCCGCAAUGGGCGCAAGCCUGACGGUGCGAUGCCGCGUGAGGGAUGAAGGCCUUCGGGUCGUAAACCUCUGUCAGGGGGGACGAAGAACUGACGGUACCCCCAGAGGAAGCCACGGCUAACUACGUGCCAGCAGCCGCGGUAAUACGUAGGUGGCGAGCGUUAUUCGGAAUUACUGGGCGUAAAGGGUCCGCAGGGGGUCUGCCAAGUUCUGCGUGAAAGCCCGCGGCUCAACCGCGGGUUGGCGCGGAAAACUGGUGGACUUGAGUGCACGAGGGGAGAGCGGAAUUCCCGGUGUAGCGGUGGAAUGCGCAGAUAUCGGGAAGAACACCAGCGGCGAAAGCGGCUCUCUGGCGUGCAACUGACCCUCAGGGACGAAAGCGUGGGUAGCAAACA
RNAcentral lists this ribosomal RNA (404 nucleotides) under uncultured bacterium. RNAcentral describes it as "bacterial SSU rRNA". It matches the Rfam family "Bacterial small subunit ribosomal RNA", at positions 355 to 774 of the family's 1533-position model. The record is from RNAcentral.